AUUGAACGCUGGCGGCAGGCCUAACACAUGCAAGUCGAGCGGAUGAAGGGAGCUUGCUCCUGGAUUCAGCGGCGGACGGGUGAGUAAUGCCUAGGAAUCUGCCUGGUAGUGGGGGAUAACGUCCGGAAACGGGCGCUAAUACCGCAUACGUCCUGAGGGAGCAAGUGGGGGAUCUUCGGACCUCACGCUAUCAGAUGAGCCUAGGUCGGAUUAGCUAGUUGGUGGGGUAAAGGCCUACCAAGGCGACGAUCCGUAACUGGUCUGAGAGGAUGAUCAGUCACACUGGAACUGAGACACGGUCCGGACUCCUACGGGAGGCAGCAGUGGGGAAUAUUGGACAAUGGGCGAAAGCCUGAUCCAGCCAUGCCGCGUGUGUGAAGAAGGUCUUCGGAUUGUAAAGCACUUUAAGUUGGGAGGAAGGGCAGUAAGUUAAUACCUUGCUGUUUUGACGUUACCAACAGAAUAAGCACCGGCUAACUUCGUG
Molecule: ribosomal RNA, 484 nt
Filed under: uncultured bacterium
Lineage: Bacteria
Description: partial 16S ribosomal RNA
Rfam family: Bacterial small subunit ribosomal RNA
Source: RNAcentral